This 496-nucleotide ribosomal RNA is filed under the name uncultured bacterium. Its description in RNAcentral is "partial 16S ribosomal RNA". It matches the Rfam family "Bacterial small subunit ribosomal RNA", at positions 29 to 506 of the family's 1533-position model. The record is from RNAcentral.
UAUGCACGCUGGCGGCGUGCCUAAUACAUGCAAGUCGAGCGAACGGACGAGAAGCUUGCUUCUCUGAUGUUAGCGGCGGACGGGUGAGUAACACGUGGAUAACCUACCUAUAAGACUGGGAUAACUUCGGGAAACCGGAGCUAAUACCGGACAAUAUUUUGAACCGCAUGGUUCAAAAGUGAAAGACGGUCUUGCUGUCACUUAUAGAUGGAUCCGCGCUGCAUUAGCUAGUUGGUAAGGUAACGGCUUACCAAGGCAACGAUGCAUAGCCGACCUGAGAGGGUGAUCGGCCACACUUGAACUGAGACACGGUCCAGACUCCUACGGGAGGCAGCAGUAGGGAAUCUUCCGCAAUGGGCGAAAGCCUGACGGAGCAACGCCGCGUGAGUGAUGAAGGGCUUCGGAUCGUAAAACUCUGUUACUAGGGAAGAACAUAUGUGUAAGUAACUGUGCACAUCUUGACGGUACCGAAUCAGAAAGCCACGGCUAACUACGU